CCUACGGGAGGCAGCAGUGGGGAAUAUUGGGCAAUGGAGGAAACUCUGACCCAGCACCGGCGAGUGAAUGAUGAAGGUCUUCGGAUUGUACAGUUCUGUUCUAAGGGAAGAAGAAAGUGACGGUACCUUAGGAAUAAGCAUCGGCUAACUACGUGCCAGCAGCCGCGGUAAUACGUAGGAGGCGAGCGUUAACCGGAAUGACUGGGCGUAAAGGGAGCGUAGGUGGUUUGGCAAGUUAGUAGCGUAACUCCAAGGCUCAACCUUGGGACUACUACUAAAACUGUUGGACUUGAGUGCAGGCAGGGCAACCGGAAUUCCUAGUGUAGCGGUGGAAUGCGUAGAUAUUAGGAGGAACACCAGUGGCGAAGGCGGGUUGCUAGACUGUAACUGACACUGAGGCACGAAAGCGUGGGUAGCAAACAGGAUUAGAUACCCUUGUAGUC
Molecule: ribosomal RNA, 443 nt
Filed under: uncultured bacterium
Lineage: Bacteria
Description: partial 16S ribosomal RNA
Rfam family: Bacterial small subunit ribosomal RNA
Source: RNAcentral